RNA transcript from Mastomys coucha (southern multimammate mouse), 1813 nucleotides. It is a transcript of the gene named heat shock cognate 71 kDa protein pseudogene, with no coding region annotated. NCBI's taxonomy places the organism in Eukaryota, Metazoa, Chordata, Mammalia, Rodentia, Muridae. The transcript has a single exon. The record is from RefSeq and is a predicted model, not a curated record.
AUGUCUAAAGGACCUGCAAUUGGCAUAGAUCUUGACACCACCUACUCCUGUGUGAGUGUCUUCCAGCAUGGAAAAGUGGAAAUAAUUGCCAAUGACCAGGGUAACCACACCAUGCCAAGCUAUGUUGCUUUCACUGACACAGAACAAUUAAUUGGAGAUGCAGCCAAGAAUCAGGUUGCAAUGAACCCCACCAACACAGUUUUUGAUGCCAAAUGUCUGAUCAAUUGUAGGCUUGAUGAUGCUGUUGUUCAGUCUGAUAUGAAGCACUGGCCCUUCGUGGUGGUGAAUGAUGCAGGCAGGCUCAAGGACCAAGUGGAAUAAAAGGGGAGACAAAAAAUUUUUAACUAGAGGAAGUGUCCUCAGUGGUCUGACAAAGAUGAAGGAAAUUGGAGAAGUGUACCUCAGAAAGACUGUUACCAAUGCCACGGUCACAGUGCCAGCUUACUUCAAUGACUCUCAGUGGCAGGCAUCAAAAGAUGCUGGAACUAUUGCUGGCCUCAAUGUACUUCAAAUUCUCAUUAAACCAAUUGUUGCUGCUGUUGCUUAUGGCUUUGAUAAGAAGGUCAGGGCUAAAAGGAAUGUGCUGGUUUUUGACUUGGGAGGUGGUACUUUUGAUGUGUCAGUCCUCGCUAUUGAGGAUGAAAUUAUUUGAAGUCAAAUCAAUGGCUGGAGACAUCCACUUGGGUAAAAAAGAUUUUGACAACUGAAUGGUCAACCAGUUUAUUGCUGAGUUUAAGCAAAAGCACAAGAAGGACAUCAGCAUCUCAACACUGCCUGUGCAAGGGCCAAGUGCACCCUCUCCUCCAGCACUAAUGCCAGUAUUGAGAUUGAUUCUCUGUAUGAGGGAAUUGAGUUCUAUAUCUCCAUUACCUGGUCUCGAUUUGAGGAAUUGAAUGCUGGCCUAUUCUGUAGUACACUUUACCCUGUAGAGAAGAACCUUCGAGAUGCCAAACUCAACAAGUCACAAAUCCAUGAUAUUGUCUUGCUGGUUGGUUCAACUAGAAUCCCCAAGAUUCAGAAACUUCAGCAAGACUUCUUCAAUGGAAAAUAACUGAAUAAGAGCAUUAACCUCUGAUGAAGCUGUUGCCUAUGGUGCAGCUGUCCAGGCAGCCAUUCUAUCUAGAGACAAAUCUGAGAAUAUUCAGGAUUUACUGCUCUUGGAUGUCACUCCUCUUUCCCUUGGUCUUGAAACUAGUGGUGGACUCAUGACUGUCCUCAUCAAGUGCAAUACCACCAUUCCCACCAAGCAGACACAGACUUUUACCACCUACUUUUACAACCAUCUAGGUGUACUCAUUCAGGUAUAUGAGGGUGAAAGGGCCAUGACAAAGGACAACAACCUGCUUGGAAAGUUUGAGCUCACAGGCAUACCUCCAGCACCUUGUGAAGUUCUUCAGAUUGAGGUUACUUUUGACAUUGAUGCUAAUGGUAUCCUCAAUGUUUCCACUAUAGAUAAGAGCACAGAAAAGGAGAACAGGAUCACCAUCACCAAUGACAAGGGCCGCUUGACUAAGGAGGAUAUUGAGCGCAUGGUCCAAGAAGCUAAGAAGUACAAAGCUGAGGAUGAGAAGCAGAGAGAUACAGUUUCCUCCAGGAAUUCACUGGAGACCUAUGCCUUCAACAUGAAAGCAACUGUUGAAGAUGAGAAACUUCAAGGCAAGAUCAAGGAUGAGGACAAACAGAAGAUUCUUGACAAGUGCAAAUGGAAAUCAUCAGAUGGCUGAAUAAGAAACAGACAGCAGAGAAGGAAGAAUUUGAGUAUCAGCAGACAGAACUGGAGAAAGUCUGCAACCCUAUCAUUACCAAACUGUAA